UCUUUGAAAACUAUGAAUUGAAAGGAAAUCAAACAUAACAAAUUCUUUAAAUAUUAAUUAAAAGAUUACUAUAAGCACGUAGUGAAUUUAGCCAAACAUUUCAAUGCAGUGGUUUUGGUGCAGGAGCUCCUUGAAGGCAGUGAUGAGGUCAGAUUUGAUGAGGUGGGAGAGGAUGUGGGUGGGGAGAUCUGUCUGGUCGAU
RNAcentral lists this long non-coding RNA (201 nucleotides) under Olea europaea (common olive). RNAcentral's name for it is "long non-coding RNA (OEUR_LNC007402)". Lineage: Eukaryota; Viridiplantae; Streptophyta; Magnoliopsida; Lamiales; Oleaceae. The record is from RNAcentral.